AACGAACGCUGGCGGCAUGCCUAACACAUGCAAGUCGAACGAGACCUUCGGGUCUAGUGGCGCACGGGUGCGUAACGCGUGGGAACCUGCCUUUAGGUUCGGAAUAAACUCAGAGAAAUUUGAGCUAAUACCGGAUAAUGUCUUCGGACCAAAGAUUUAUCGCCUUUAGAUGGGCCCGCGUUGGAUUAGCUAGUUGGUGGGGUAAAGCCUACCAAGGCGACGAUCCAUAGCUGGUCUGAGAGGAUGAUCAGCCACACUGGGACUGAGACACGGCCCAGACUCCUACGGAGGCAGCAGU
This 298-nucleotide ribosomal RNA is filed under the name uncultured bacterium. RNAcentral describes it as "partial 16S ribosomal RNA". It matches the Rfam family "Bacterial small subunit ribosomal RNA", at positions 29 to 355 of the family's 1533-position model. The record is from RNAcentral.